GGUCCUAUAGCGCAGUGGUUAGCGCAGAUGACUCAUAAUCAUUUGGUCGCAGGUUCAAGUCCUGCUGGGACCA
Molecule: transfer RNA, 73 nt
Filed under: Candidatus Symbiothrix sp.
Lineage: Bacteria; Pseudomonadati; Bacteroidota; Bacteroidia; Bacteroidales
Description: tRNA-Ile
Rfam family: tRNA
About the family: Transfer RNA (tRNA) molecules are approximately 80 nucleotides in length. Their secondary structure includes four short double-helical elements and three loops (D, anti-codon, and T loops).
Source: RNAcentral